AGAGUUUGAUCAUGGCUCAGAUUGAACGCUGGCGGAAUGCUUUACACAUGCAAGUCGAGCGGCAGCGCGGGGCAACCUGGCGGCGAGCGGCGAACGGGUGAGUAAUGCAUCGGAACAUGUCUAUGUCGUGGGGGAUAGCCCGGCGAAAGCCGGAUUAAUACCGCAUACGCCCGAGAGGGGAAAGUGGGGGACCGCAAGGCCUCACGCGAUUGGGUUGGCCGAUGUCCGAUUAGCUAGUUGGUAGGGUAACGGCCUACCAAGGCGACGAUCCGUAGCUGGUCUGAGAGGACGACCAGCCACACUGGGACUGAGACACGGCCCAGACUCCUACGGGAGGCAGCAGUGGGGAAUAUUGGACAAUGGGGGCAACCCUGAUCCAGCGACGCCGCGUGUGUGAAGAAGGCCUGCGGGUUGUAAAGCACUUUUAGUGGGGAUGAAAAGCACAGGUCUAAUACAUCUGUGUCUUGACCUAACCCAAAGAAAAAGCACCGGCUAACUCUGUGCCAGCAGCCGCGGUAAUACAGAGGGUGCGAGCGUUAAUCGGAAUUACUGGGCGUAAAGCGUGCGUAGACGGUUAUUUAAGUCGGAUGUGAAAGCCCCGGGCUCAACCUGGGAAUUGCAUUCGAGACUGAAUAGCUAGGGUGCGGUAGAGGGAAGCGGAAUUUCCGGUGUAGCGGUGAAAUGCGUAGAUAUCGGAAGGAACAUCAGUGGCGAAAGCGGCUUCCUGGACCAGCACCGACGUUCAGGCACGAAAGCGUGGGGAGCAAACAGGAUUAGAUACCCUAGUAGUCC
RNAcentral lists this ribosomal RNA (792 nucleotides) under uncultured bacterium. RNAcentral's name for it is "bacterial SSU rRNA". It matches the Rfam family "Bacterial small subunit ribosomal RNA", at positions 8 to 796 of the family's 1533-position model. The record is from RNAcentral.